This 267-nucleotide ribosomal RNA is filed under the name uncultured bacterium. RNAcentral's name for it is "partial 16S ribosomal RNA". It matches the Rfam family "Bacterial small subunit ribosomal RNA", at positions 524 to 795 of the family's 1533-position model. The record is from RNAcentral.
UACGGAGGGUGCAAGCGUUAAUCGGAAUUACUGGGCGUAAAGCGCGCGUAGGCGGUUUGUUAAGUGAGAUGUGAAAGCCCAGGGCUCAACCUUGGAACUGCAUCUCAUACUGGCAGGCUGAGUACGGUAGAGGGGGGUAGAAUUCCACGUGUAGCGGUGAAAUGCGUAGAGAUGUGGAGGAAUACCAGUGGCGAAGGCGGCCCCCUGGAUCGAUACUGACGCUGAGGUGCGAAAGGUGGGGCAAACAGGAUUAGAUACCCCUACGUC